AACAUCGCGCACCUGCGGGAACCUGCGGAGGGAUCAUUACAGAGUUGCAAAACUCCCUAAACCAUUGUGAACGUUACCUAAACCGUUGCUUCGGCGGGCGGCCCGGGUCCUUCCCGGCGCCCCUCGGCCCUCGCGGGCGCCCGCCGGAGGUAAACCAAACUAUUGCAUUGUAUGGCCUCUCUGAGUCUUCUGUACUGAAUAAGUCAAAACUUUCUACAACGGAUCUCAGAUCGGAAGAGC
Molecule: unclassified non-coding RNA, 240 nt
Filed under: soil metagenome
Description: partial contains 5.8S ribosomal RNA, internal transcribed spacer 2, and large subunit ribosomal RNA
Source: RNAcentral